RNAcentral lists this ribosomal RNA (253 nucleotides) under uncultured bacterium. Its description in RNAcentral is "partial 16S ribosomal RNA". It matches the Rfam family "Bacterial small subunit ribosomal RNA", at positions 524 to 776 of the family's 1533-position model. The record is from RNAcentral.
UACAGAGGUCUCAAGCGUUGUUCGGAUUCAUUGGGCGUAAAGGGUGCGUAGGCGGCGCGGUAAGUCGGAUGUGAAAUCUCGGGGCUUAACUCCGAAACUGCAUUCGAUACUGCCGUGCUUGAGGACUGGAGAGGCAGGUGGAAUUCCGGGUGUAGCGGUGGAAUGCGUAGAGAUCCGGAAGAACACCCAUGGCGAAGGCAGCAAACUGGCCGGCAUCUGACGCUGAGGCGCGAAAGCGUGGGUAGCAAACAGG